AAUCCUCUAGGCCGAAUAUCCAAGGUUUCCAGGGUAAAGCUGAUCUGCCCUGGGUAAGUCGGGGCCUAAGGUGAGGACGAGAGUCGUAGCCGAUGGACAACAGGUGGAGAUUCCUGUACUAUGAUAUGACAGAACUGUGGGGACACGUGCAGAGGGCGGAAGCCGGGAAUGGGAUCCCGGUGCAAGCGAGGUACCAGCCGCAUUGGAAAAACCGUGCGGCAAUGGGAAGACGUGAUGCGGAGUGAAGUUUAGUAAUGAAGUCCGUGAGCAGUGCGUCAAGAAAAGCCGCUAUUGUUCAUACCAUACCCGUACCGUAAACCGACACAGGUGGAUGAGGAGAGAAUCCUAAGGCCGGCGGAAGAAGCAUUGUCAAGGAACUCGGCAAAAUGACCCCGUAACUUCGGGAGAAGGGGUGCCUGCGAGAGCAGGCCGCAGAGAAUAGGCUCAAGCAACUGUUUAGCAAAAACACAGGUCUAUGCGAAACCGAAAGGUGAGGUAUAUGGGCUGACGCCUGCCCGGUGCUGGAAGGUUAAGAGGAGAGGUUAGCGCAAGCGAAGCUUUGAAUUUAAGCCCCAGUAAACGGCGGCCGUAACAAUAACGGUCCUAAGGUAGCGAAAUUCCCUGUCGGGUAAGUUCCGACCCGCACGAAAGGCGUAAUGAUUUGAGCGCUGUCUCGACAAUGCAUCCGGUGAAAUUGAAGUACCAGUGAAGAUGCUGGUUACCUGCGCCAGGACGGAAAGACCCCAUGGAGCUUUACUCCAGUUUGGUACUGGGAUCCGGUACUGCAUGUACAGGAUAGGUGGGAGGCUGAGAAUCGGUAACGCCAGUUGCCGAGGAGCCGCUGUUGGGAUACCACCCUUGCAGUAUUGGGUUUCUAACCAGCCGCCGUGACCCGGCGGUGGGACAAUGCCAGACGGGGAGUUUGACUGGGGCGGUCGCCUCCGAAAGGGUAUCGGAGGCGCCCAAAGGUUCCCUCAGGAUGGACGGAAACCAUCCAAAGAGUGCAAAGGCAGAAGGGAGCUUGACUGCGACACCGACGGGUGGAGCAGGUACGAAAGUAGGGCUUAGUGAUCCGGUGGUAUUAAGUGGGAAUGCCAUCGCUCAACGGAUAAAAGCUACCCUGGGAUAACAGGCUUAUCACUCCCAAGAGUUCACAUCGACGGAGUGGUUUGGCACCUCGAUGUCGGCUCAUCGCAUCCUGGGGCUGUAGUAGGUCCCAAGGGUUGGGCUGUUCGCCCAUUAAAGCGGUACGCGAGCUGGGUUCAGAACGUCGUGAGACAGUUCGGUCCCUAUCCGGCGUGGGCGUAGGAUAUCUGAGAGGAGCUGUCCUUAGUACGAGAGGACCGGGAUGGACGGGCCGCUGGUGCACCGGUUAGACUGCCAAGUCUAUAGCCGGGUAGCCAAGCCCGGAAGGGAUAAACGCUGAAGGCAUCUAAGCGUGAAGCCCCCCUCAAGAUGAGAUAUCCCAUCCGAAAGGAGUAAACCCCCUUGAAGACGACGAGGUCGAUAGGGCAGGGGUGGAAGUGUGGUAACACAUGGAGCUGACUGCUACUAAUAGGGUGAGGGCUUGACC
Molecule: ribosomal RNA, 1573 nt
Filed under: metagenome
Description: bacterial LSU rRNA
Rfam family: Bacterial large subunit ribosomal RNA
Source: RNAcentral